This 446-nucleotide ribosomal RNA is filed under the name uncultured bacterium. Its description in RNAcentral is "bacterial SSU rRNA". It matches the Rfam family "Bacterial small subunit ribosomal RNA", at positions 29 to 496 of the family's 1533-position model. The record is from RNAcentral.
AGUGAACGCUGGCGGCAUGCCUAACACAUGCAAGUCGAACGAAGGCUUCGGCCUUAGUGGCGCACGGGUGCGUAACGCGUGGGAAUCUGCCCUUGGGUUCGGAAUAACUCAGAGAAAUUUGAGCUAAUACCGGAUGAUGACGUAAGUCCAAAGAUUUAUCGCCCAAGGAUGAGCCCGCGUAGGAUUAGCUUGUUGGUGAGGUAAAGGCUCACCAAGGCGACGAUCCUUAGCUGGUCUGAGAGGAUGAUCAGCCACACUGGGACUGAGACACGGCCCAGACUCCUACGGGAGGCAGCAGUGGGGAAUAUUGGACAAUGGGCGAAAGCCUGAUCCAGCAAUGCCGCGUGAGUGAAGAAGGCCCUCGGGUUGUAAAGCUCUUUUGUCCGGAAAGAAAGCAUCUGGUUAAUACCCGGGUGUUCUGACGGUACCGGAAGAAUAAGCACCGG